Long non-coding RNA from Gallus gallus (chicken), 844 nucleotides. The record is from Ensembl. Lineage: Eukaryota; Metazoa; Chordata; Aves; Galliformes; Phasianidae.
GUUAAUGUAGAAGAACAAGAAUUAUAAUGAUUCCCAACAGACCACCCACUUAGCUACCCUUAGCUGUGAGCAGUAGGAAAGCUAUGGUGGAUGCAUCCUAGUAGAGGUUUACCAAAACAGAAAAGAAGCUAGAUGAAGGAUAACUCAGGAGAAGAACACGUGCUGUGAGCAGCAGAAGAACAGGCAGGACAGUGGUAUCAUGGAAAGAUGCUGAAGACAGGAUGCAUCUCAGCUAACAUUAAACAUUUAGUCAUCUAGGCUGUCUGUGUGGUCAGAAGAGUGUGGCACUCUGAAGGCAUGAUUCAUGACCUAUUUUUGGCACUAACCUACCUGGGAUGAAUUAAAUUACACUUCACAAAUGCAAGUUCCUCCUACUGAUUCUGAAGGAAACUUGGGACCUGUAGCACGGGUACAAACAUCUGUAUUUUAGAUGUGUGAAGGGAAGUGAGGCAAAUCCUCCUUUGCACGCAGAGAGAAGGAAAGCAUUGCCACAAGAUGUCCUCUGAACCUGAGUCAGCAUCCAGUCACCAUCCACUCUUGUCUCUGGGAGAGGCAAGGAAGGAGGAAGACAGUGGACUGCCUGUUGCUGGAGAAGAUACUGAAGAAGCACCAAAAAGGACUGAUGGGGAAUCCAUGAUGGGCCAGGAUGCCUGAUCAGAUCUUCUUGUGUGCUAAUUACAAAUCAACACGGUGCUCUAUUAGAUAUGCUUCUUUUCACUGAGCAGACCAACCGCUUCAGAGACCAGGCAGACUCAUGUCUGUGUAGUGGCAACUUCCACUUGUAACAACAGCAGUGGCUUUGGCACAGCUAUCUGAGAUUUCAUGGGAGAAUUUAAUUAAAAAA